This 468-nucleotide ribosomal RNA is filed under the name uncultured bacterium. RNAcentral describes it as "partial 16S ribosomal RNA". It matches the Rfam family "Bacterial small subunit ribosomal RNA", at positions 28 to 507 of the family's 1533-position model. The record is from RNAcentral.
GACGAACGCUGGCGGCGUGCUUAACACAUGCAAGUCGAACGGAAAGGCCCUGCUUUUGUGGGGUGCUCGAGUGGCGAACGGGUGAGUAACACGUGAGUAACCUGCCCUUGACUUUGGGAUAACUUCAGGAAACUGGGGCUAAUACCGGAUAGGAGCUCCUGCUGCAUGGUGGGGGUUGGAAAGUUUCGGCGGUUGGGGAUGGACUCGCGGCUUAUCAGCUUGUUGGUGGGGUAGUGGCUUACCAAGGCUUUGACGGGUAGCCGGCCUGAGAGGGUGACCGGCAAAAUGGGGACUGGAAUACGGCCCAGACUCCUACGGGAGGCAGAAGUGGGGAAUAUUGCACAAGGGGGGGAAGCCUGAUGCAGCAACGCCGCGUGCGGGAUAACGGCCUUCGGGUGGUAAACCGCUUUCGCCUGUGACGAAGCGUGAGUGACGGUAAUGGGUAAAGAAGCACCGGCUAACUACGUG